UGGGGAGUCGUCUAACGGCAGGACGCCAGGUUCUGGCCCUGGUAAUUGGGGUUCGAGUCCCUACUCCCCAGCAA
Molecule: transfer RNA, 74 nt
Filed under: Fidelibacterota bacterium
Lineage: Bacteria; Pseudomonadati; Fidelibacterota
Description: Candidatus Marinimicrobia bacterium tRNA-Gln
Rfam family: tRNA
About the family: Transfer RNA (tRNA) molecules are approximately 80 nucleotides in length.
Source: RNAcentral